UAGGGAAUAUUGGACAAUGGGGGGAACCCUGAUCCAGCCAUGCCGCGUGGAGGAAGACUGCCCUCUGGGUUGUAAACUCCUUUUAUAUGGGAAGAACCGUCCUCAUUGAUGAGUGACCUGACGGUACCAUAGGAAUAAGCACCGGCUAACUCCGUGCCAGCAGCCGCGGUAAUACGGAGGGUGCAAGCGUUAUCCGGAUUCACUGGGUUUAAAGGGUGCGUAGGCGGAUAUGUAAGUCAGUGGUGAAAUCAACGGGCUCAACCUGUUAACUGCCAUUGAUACUGUGUAUCUUGAAUAUGAGAGAGGUAGGCUGAAUGUUGCAUGUAGCGGUGAAAUGCUUAGAUAUGCUACGGAACACCGAUUGCGAAGGCAGCUUACUAUUUCGUAAUUGACGCUGAGGCACGAAAGCGUGGGUAGCGAACA
Molecule: ribosomal RNA, 423 nt
Filed under: uncultured bacterium
Lineage: Bacteria
Description: bacterial SSU rRNA
Rfam family: Bacterial small subunit ribosomal RNA
Source: RNAcentral